GGAAAAGAAACUAACAAGGAUUCCCCUAGUAACGGCGAGUGAAGCGGGAAGAGCUCAAAUUUGAAAUCUGGUAGCCUUCGGUUGCCCGAGUUGUAAUCUAGAGAAGUGUUUUCCGUGCCGGCCCAUGUACAAGUCCCUUGGAACAGGGCGUCAUAGAGGGUGAGAAUCCCGUCCUUGACAUGGACCCCCGGUGCUUUGUGAUACACUUUCAACGAGUCGAGUUGUUUGGGAAUGCAGCUCAAAAUGGGUGGUGAAUUCCAUCUAAAGCUAAAUAUUGGCGAGAGACCGAUAGCGAACAAGUACCGUGAGGGAAAGAUGAAAAGCACUUUGGAAAGAGAGUUAAACAGUACGUGAAAUUGUUGAAAGGGAAACGAUUGAAGUCAGUCAUGCUCUUGGGACUUACCUCCCUUGAGUGGGGUCAACAUCAGUUUUGAUCGAUGGAUAAAGGCACUAGGAAGGUAGCACUCUCGGGUGA
Molecule: ribosomal RNA, 475 nt
Filed under: Naganishia albida
Lineage: Eukaryota; Fungi; Basidiomycota; Tremellomycetes; Filobasidiales; Filobasidiaceae
Description: partial large subunit ribosomal RNA
Rfam family: Eukaryotic large subunit ribosomal RNA
Source: RNAcentral